Molecule: long non-coding RNA, 1305 nt
Filed under: Felis catus (domestic cat)
Lineage: Eukaryota; Metazoa; Chordata; Mammalia; Carnivora; Felidae
Description: lncRNA (ENSFCAG00000041634.2)
Source: RNAcentral
GGCAGAUCGGGAUUAAAAUCUCCGCCAGCGCUCAAGAGGACUCAUGAUUAUAACAACUGAAUGAAUCUAGGGGGGCCUGGGUGGCUCAGUCAGUUAAGCAUCCAACUCCUGGUCUCAGCUAGGUCAUGAACCCUCGGUUGAAAGUGGAUGGGAACGAGAGGACCCGUCAAUCGCAAAGACGCAAAACCAACCAGCCAAGAGGAAGGGUCCCCUUAAUUCUGUGGAGGAAGCAAGCAAGACAGCUGAGGAUGUUGGGAGGUGGGGGCCUCGGCAGCCUGGAUCUCUUUGGAUGUAAAAUACGAUAAGUAACACCUUCUCUUUGGGAUUGUUGGAAGACCAAAAGGACAAUGUGGGGAUUUGCCGACCCGGCCCACGGUGGGUGCCCAAGGUGGGUGCCCAAGGAUGGCAGGCAAGUUUUGAAGCCCGGUUCUUGGGGGAGUCUAACUAGUUUUAUGGAUCCAGUCUAGCUGGGCAUGAAACUUGCUGUCCAGCACACAAACCCUGAUAUUCUUUCUAGCCCCGGGAUCCCGAACGCGGUCGGGGCGGGAGGUUGGGGGGGGGGGGGCAGGCACUCUGCUGGCCCUUGCAACUGCCUUGAUCACCUGUAACUAUCCAGGGUUUUCAGGCUGGCUUGGGGUAACACCGCCCGGCCCCAUCAAAGAAAUGCAGCGUGAACAGUCCCACACCUCUUGGCUCCUGUCUCUCAAGGAACAUGCAAGUGAAUCUAAUUAAUGACCUUCAGUAUCUUCUGUGCUUUUUUAUUAUCCCAUCCACAGUUCCUGGAGCCUUCCGGUCACUUACAAUUCAAACAAAAGAAACACCAAAAAGCUAGCUCGUGUGUCAUGGGCUCCUUUUCUCUGUCUCGGCACCAGAAGGUUCUAGAAACCGUUUGCAGACUCUCCUCAGGGACUCAGAAGUCAUCAAGCGCCGUCGCCGAGCACUUCUCAAACGGUCCCGUACGCACACGCACACACACAAACACACACGCCAGGAGAGUCUUGUUAACAAGCCCGUGGUCCUGCGUUUCCAGCAUGCUCACGGGACCCUAAUGCUGCUGAUCUGGAGACCUCGCUUUGAGCAGCGAGACUGCGGUAAAAUGUCCCACCUCGGGUCUUUUGUAUUUCUUUUUUUUUUAAGUUUAUUUACUUAUUUGUGUGUGUGUGUGUGUGUGUGUGUGUGUGUGUGUGUGUGUGUGUGUGUGUGUGUGAGAGAGAGAGAGAGAGAGAGAAGAGAGAGAGAGAAUGGGGGGGGGGGGUGGAGGGGCAGAGAAAGAAGAGAGAAAGAAGUCCGAGCAGGCUGUGCGCU